CCUACGGGAGGCAGCAGUGAGGAAUAUUGGUCAAUGGACGAGAGUCUGAACCAGCCAAGUAGCGUGAAGGAUGACGGCCCUAUGGGUUGUAAACUUCUUUUAUACGGGGAUAAAAUGCGUCACGUGUGGGUUUUUGUAGGUACCACAUGAAUAAGGAUCGGCUAACUCCGUGCCAGCAGCCGCGGUAAUACGGAGGGUCCGGGCGUUAUCCGGAUUUAUUGGGUUUAAAGGGAGCGUAGGCGGCUUGUUAAGCCAGCUGUGAAAUUCCGCGGCUCAACCAUGGAAUUGCAGUGGAAACUGGCUGUCUUGAGUGCGGUAGAGGUGGGCGGAAUUCGUGGUGUAGCGGUGAAAUGCUUAGAUAUCACGAAGAACUCCGAUUGCGAAGGCAGCACACUGGACUGCAACUGACGCUGAGGCUCGAAAGUGUGGGUAUCGAACAGGAUUAGAUACCCGUGUAGUC
RNAcentral lists this ribosomal RNA (460 nucleotides) under uncultured bacterium. Its description in RNAcentral is "partial 16S ribosomal RNA". It matches the Rfam family "Bacterial small subunit ribosomal RNA", at positions 338 to 795 of the family's 1533-position model. The record is from RNAcentral.